AGUCAUAUGCUUGUCUCAAAGAUUAAGCCAUGCAUGUCUCAGUACAAGCCAAAUUAAGGUGAAACCGCGAAAGGCUCAUUAAAUCAGUUAUGGUUCCUUAGAUCGUACACACAAUUACUUGGAUAACUGUGGUAAUUCUAGAGCUAAUACAUGCUAACAGAGCUCUGACCGGAGACGGAAAGAGUGCUUUUAUUAGAUCAAAACCAAUCGGUGGCGGGCUCGCUCGUCAUCGUACCAUUUGGUGACUCUGAAUAACUUUUGCUGAUCGCACGGUCUCGUACCGGCGACGCAUCUUUCAAAUGUCUGCCUUAUCAACUGUCGAUGGUAGGUUCUGCGCCUACCAUGGUUGUAACGGGUAACGGGGAAUCAGGGUUCGAUUCCGGAGAGGGAGCCUGAGAAACGGCUACCACAUCCAAGGAAGGCAGCAGGCGCGCAAAUUACCCACUCCCGGCACGGGGAGGUAGUGACGAAAAAUAACGAUACGGGACUCAUCCGAGGCCCCGUAAUCGGAAUGAGUACACUCUAAACCCUUUAACAAGGAACAAUUGGAGGGCAAGUCUGGUGCCAGCAGCCGCGGUAAUUCCAGCUCCAAUAGCGUAU
RNAcentral lists this ribosomal RNA (600 nucleotides) under Choleva kocheri. Its description in RNAcentral is "SSU rRNA". It matches the Rfam family "Eukaryotic small subunit ribosomal RNA", at positions 22 to 602 of the family's 1831-position model. The record is from RNAcentral. Lineage: Eukaryota; Metazoa; Arthropoda; Insecta; Coleoptera; Leiodidae. RNAcentral also lists the same sequence under 1 other name.